This is a long non-coding RNA of Equus caballus (horse), 5187 nucleotides long. The record is from Ensembl. NCBI's taxonomy places the organism in Eukaryota, Metazoa, Chordata, Mammalia, Perissodactyla, Equidae.
UCUGAGAUGUACCAGAACCAUGUGCCGUACAUGCCGGAACCACGUACCGGACAGACCGGAAUCACUUUUCGGGCAUGCUGGAACCACCUGUCAGAUGUGCUAGAACCACGUGCCGGAGACGCCGGAAGCACGUGCCGAGCACGUCGGAACCACGUGUUCAUCUCGCCUGAACCACCUGCCGGACACGUCAUAAUCACCUGCCGGCUACGCCAAAACCAUUUGGUGGACUCUCUGGAAUCACCUGCCGGGCAUGAUAGAACCACCUUUCAGACGUGCCGGAACCACGUGCCGGACAUGCCAGAACCACCUCCCGGACAGACUGGAACCACAUGCCGGACAUGCCUGAACCAACUGGCGAGCACGCCGGAACCGCAUGCUCGACUCGCUGGAACCACAUGCCGGAAAUGGCAAAAUCACCUGCCGGGUAUGCCAGAACCACUUGGCGGACACUCCGGAAUCACCUGCGGGGCAUGCCAGCAUAACCUCUCAGAAGUGCCAGAAGCACGUGCUGGACAGGCCGGUACCAUCUCCUGGACAGAGCGGAACCACAGGAAACAGUCGCCAGAACCACCUGCUUGACUCACCGGUCCAACAUGCCGGACACGCCAAGAUCACCUGCCCGCUACACCAGAACCACGUGGGGUACAAGCCGGAAUCACGUGAAGGGCAUGCUGGCAGAACCUCUCAGUCGUGCCAGAACCUCGUGCCGGGAACCCCAGAACCACCUGCCUUACAGACCGCAACCACCAGCUGGACAUGCCGGAAACACUGGCUCGACCCUCCGGAACCAAUGCCGGACAUGCAAAAUCACCUGCCGGCUACGCCAGAAGCACUUGCCGAACACUCCGGAAUCACCAGCCGGGCCUGCCGGAACCACCUGCCGGUCAUGCCAAAAUCACCUGCCAACUACGCCAGAACCACUUGGCGGACACUGCGGAAACAACUGUCGGGCCGGCCGGAACCACAUCUCAGACGUGCCAGAACCAUGUGCAUGAGAUGCCGGAACCACAACACGAACAGACGGAAACCACCUGCCAGACCCUCCUGAACCACCUGCCGAGAAUGCCGGAAACACCUGCUCGACUCGCUGGAACCACCUACCUCACACGUCAAAAUCACCUGCCGUGUAUGCCAGAACCACUUGGCGAACACUACUGAAUCACCUGCCGGGCAUGCCAGCACAACCUCUCAGACGUGCCCGAAGCAUGUGCCAGACAGGCCGGAACCAUCUCCUGGACAAACCGGAACCACAGGAAACACUCGCCAGAACCACCUGCUUGACUCACCGGUCCCAACAGCUGGACACGCCAAAAUCACCUGCCCGCUACACCACAACCACUUGGCAGACAAGCCAGAAUCACGUGAUGGGCAUGCGAACACAACCUCUCAGACGUGCCAGGACCUCGUGCCGGAAACCCCAGAACCACCUGCCGGACAGACGGGAACCAACUGCCGGACACGACGGAAAAAUGUCUUGACCCGCGGAACCACCACCAGACACGCCAAAAGCACCUGCCGGCUACGCGACAACCAGUUGCUGGACACUUCGGAAUCACCUGCCGGGCUUGCUGGAAACACCUGCCGGUCACAACAACAUCACCUGCCAGCUACGCCAGAACCACUUGGUGGACACUCCGGAAACACCAGUCGGGCCGGCUAGAACCACCUCUCGGACGUGCCAGAUCCUUGUGCCUGAGAUGCCAUAACCACACCCUGAACAGACUGAAGCCACCUUCCAGACCCGCCUGAGCCAACUGUCGAGCACACUGAAACCACCUGCUCGACUCGCCAGAACCACCUACCUGACACGCAAAAACCACCGGCCGGGUAUGCCAGAACCACUUGGUGGUCACUCUGGAAUCAUCUGCCGGACAUGCCAGAACCAGCUCUCAGACACACCCGAACAACCUGCCGGACACGCAAAAAUCACCUGCCGGGUACACCAGAACCACUUGGCGGACACUCCGGAAUCACCUGUCGGGCAGGCGGAACCACCUCGCAGACUUGCCAGAACCAUGUUCCGGACACGCCAGUACCACCUGCUGAGUAUGCCGGAACUACCUGAUCCACUCCCCAGAACCACCUGCUGUACACGCAAAAAUCACCUGCCAGCUACGCCAGAACCAAUCGGCAGACACUCCGGAAUCAUCUGCUGGGCAUGCCGGAACCAUCCCUCAGAGGAGCCAGAACCACAUGCCGGAGACUCCGGAGUCACCUGCCGGGCAUGCCAGAACCAUCUCUCACACGUGCCACAACCACGUGCCGGAGAGCCCGGAAGCACCUGCCGAGCUCGCCGGAACCACCUGCGGGACAUGCCGCAACCAGUGGCCUGACAGGCCAAAAUCAUAUGCCGGCUAUGCCAAAACCACUUGGUGGACACUCCAGAAUCACCUUGCGGGCAUGCCGGAACCACGUCAUGGACAGACGGCAAACACCUGCCGGACCUGCCAGAAGCACCUGCCGAGCACGCCGGAACCACCUGCUCGACUCACCAGAGCCACCUGCCGGACACACCAGAAACACCUGCGGGGUAUGCCAGAACCACUUGGAGGACUCUCCGGGAUCACCUGCCGGGAAUGCCGGAACCACCUCUCAGACGUGCCAGAACCAUGUGCAGGACACGCCGGAACCACCUGCAGAGUAUGCCGGAACCACCUGAUCCACUCCCCAGAACCACUGGCUGGACACACGAAAAUCACCUGCAGGAUACGCCAGAACCAUUCGCCAGACACUCGGGAACCACCUCCAGGACAGACCGGAACCACCUGCCGGACACGCUGGGACCACCUGUUUGAAUCGCCAGAACCACCUGCCGGGCAUGCCAAAAUCACCAGCCGGCUGCGCUAAAACCACUUGUCAGACACUCCGGAAUCACCUGCCGGGCAUGCUGGAACCACCUCUCAGAGGUGCCACAAACACAUGCCGGAGACGGCGGAAGCACCUGCCGAGAAUGCUGGAAGUUCCUGAUCCACUCCACAGAACCACCUGUCGGACACGCCAAAAUCAACUGCCGGCUACGCUAGAAUCACUUGUCGGACACUCCAGAAUCACCAGCCGGGCAUGCCAGCACAACCUCUCAGACGUGCCCGAAGCACGUGCCGGACAGGCCGGAACCAUCUCAAGGACAGACUGGAACCACCUUCCGAACACGCCGGAACCACCGGCUUGACUCGCCGGAACCACCGCCGGACAUGUAAAAUCAACUGCCGGCUACGCCAGAACCACUUGGCGAACAUUCCGGAAUCACCUGGUGGGCAUGCCGGAACCACCUCUCAGGCAUGCCAGAACCACAUGCCAAUGACACCGGAAGCACCUGCUGAGCACGCCGGAACCACCUGCUCGACUCGCCAGAACCACCUGCCGAACACGCCAAAAGCACCUGCCCGCUACGCCACAACCAGUUGGUGAAAACUUCGGAAUCACCUGCCGCGCUUGCUGGAACCACCUGCCGGUCACGCCAAAAUCACCUGCCAGCUAAACCUGAACCAAGUGGUGGACACUCCGGAAUCACCUGCCGCGCAUGCCAGAUCCACCUCUCAGACUUGCCAGAACCAUGUUCCGGACACGCCGGUACCACCUGCCGAGUAUGCCGGAACCACCUGAUCCAGUCCCCAGAACCACCUGCUGGACACGAAAAAAUCACCUGCCGGCUACGCCAAAACAACUCGGCACAGACUCCGGGACCACCUCCAGGACAGACUGGAACCACCUGCAGGACACGCCGGGACCACCUGCUUGACUCGCCAGAACCACCUGCCGCACACGCCAAAAUCACCAGCCGGCUAUGCCACAACCACUUGUCGGACACUCCGGAAUCACCUGCUGGGCAUGCUGGAACCACCUCUCAGAGGUGCCACAAACACAUGCCGGAGACGGCGGAAGCACCUGCCGAGAAUGCCGGAAGUUCCUGAUCCACUCCACAGAACCACCUGCCGGACACGCCGAAAUCACCUGCCGGCUACACCAGAACCACUUGGCGGACACUCCAGAAUCACCAGCCGGGCAUGCCAGCACAACCUCUCAGACGUGCCCGAAGCACGUGCCGGACAGGCCGGAAACAUCUCCCGGACAGACCGGAACCACAUUCCGGACAUGCCGGAACCACCGGCUCGACUCGCCAGAACCACCGCCGGACAUGCCAAAUCAACUGCCGGCUACGCCAGAACCACUUGGCAAACACUCCGGAUUCACCUGCUGGGCAUGCCGGAAGCACCUCUCAGACAUGCCAGAACCACGUGCCAAUGACACCAGAAGCACCUGCUGAGCACGCCGGAACCACCUGCUCGACUCGCCAGAAUCACCUCCCGGACACGCCAAAAUCACCUGCCGGCUAUGCCAGAACCAGUUGGUGAACACUUCGGUAUCACCUGCCGCGCUUGCUGGAACCACCUGCUGGUCACGCCAACAUCACCUGCCAGCUACGCCAGAACCACUUGGUGGACACUCCGGAAUCAUCUGCCGGAAAUGCCAGAAGCAGCUCUCAGACACACCAGAAACACGUGCCACAGAUGCCGGAAGCUCCUGCUGAGCAUGCUUGAGCCACCUGCUCGACUUGCAAGAAACACCUGCCGGAGAUGCCAAAAUCACCUGCCGGGUACGCCAGAACCAUGUGCUGGACACGCCGGAACCACCUGCCGAGUAUGCCGGAACCACCUGAUCCACUCCCCAGAACCACCUGCCGGACAUGCCCCAACCACCGGCUCGACACGCCGGUACCACCUGCCGCAUAUGCCGGAACCACCUCUCAGAGGUGCCAGAACCGCGUGCCGGAGAGACCGGAAGCACCUGCCGAGCUCGCCGGAACCACCUGCUGGACAUACCGGAACCACCUGACUGACAGGCCAAAAUCAUAUGCCGGCAACGCCAAAACCACUUGGGGGACACUUGAGAAUCACCUUGCGGGCAUGCCGGAACCACGUCAUGGACAGACUGCAAAAUCCUGCCGGACCUGCCUGAACCACCUGCCGAGCACGCUGGAACCACCUGCUCGACUCACCAGAGCCACCUGCCGGACACACCAGAAACACCUGCGGGGUACGCCAGAACCACUUGGAGGACUCUCCGGGAUCACCUGCCGGGCAUGCCGGAACCACCGCUCAGACGUUCCAGAACCAUGUGCCGGACAUGCUGGAACCACCUGCCGAGUAUGCCGGAACCACCUGAUGCACUCCACAGAACCACCUGCCG